This 497-nucleotide ribosomal RNA is filed under the name uncultured bacterium. RNAcentral's name for it is "partial 16S ribosomal RNA". It matches the Rfam family "Bacterial small subunit ribosomal RNA", at positions 28 to 507 of the family's 1533-position model. The record is from RNAcentral.
GAUGAACGCUGGCGGCGUGCCUAAUACAUGCAAGUCGAGCGAACAGAUGAGGAGCUUGCUCCUCUGACGUUAGCGGCGGACGGGAGAGUAACACGUGGAUAACCUACCUAUAAGACUGGGAUAACUUCGGGAAAUCGGAGCUAAUACCGGAUAAUAUAUUGAACCGCGUUGUUCACUAGUGAAAUUCGGUUUUUCUGUCAGUUAUAGACGGAUCCGCGCCGAAUUAGCUAGUUGGUAAGGUAACGGCUUACCAAGGCAACGAUGCGUAGCCGACCUGAGAGGGUGAUCGGCCACACUGGAAGUGAGAAACGGCCCAGACUCCUACGGGAGGAAGCAGUAGGGAAUCUUCCGCAAUGGGCGAAAGCUUGACGGAGCAACGCCGCGUGAGGGAUGAAGGUCUUCGGAUCGUAAAACUAUGUUAUUAGGAAAGAACAAAUGUGUAAGUAACUAUGAACGUAUUGACGGUACCUAAUCAGAAAGCCACGGCUAACUACGUG